AGAGGAAGGAGAAGUCGUAACAAGGUUUCCGUAGGUGAACCUGCGGAAGGAUCAUUGUCGAAACCUGACCAAGGAGAUCGACCCGAGAACAAGUAUCGUGAUGCGGAAACCGGCGGGCCUAUACAGACUGUCGUUUUCCGAAGCUCGUGGAGGCGCGGGAGAAUCCCUAGGUUUGCCUAGCGGGGCCCCUCGUGCUGCAAGCGGGCACAACAAACCCCCGGCGUGUUAAGCGUCAAGGAAUUGCAAAGCAAGCGAACGCGCCAUCCGUGCCCCGUUCUCGGGGUGCGGCGGCUGCGAUGCUGUCUUCGAAUGAGACAAACGACUCUCGGCAACGGAUAUCUCGGCUCUCGCAUCGAUGAAGAACGUAGCGAAAUGCGAUACUUGGUGUGAAUUGCAGAAUCCCGUGAACCAUCGAGUCUUUGAACGCAAGUUGCGCCCGAAGCCGUCAGGCCAAGGGCACGUCUGCCUGGGUGUCACGCAUCGUCGCCCCAUCCAGCUCCUCUCAGAAACGGGAGGGGCGGGGUCGGACAUUGGCCUCCCGUGUGCGUACUGUAUGCGGCUGGCCAAAAUCCGGGGACCGGACGUUUAGUUUCCGACCAGCGGUGGUUGAACCUCAUGCUCGUGUCGGAUGCCUGCCGUCCAAGUGUCCCUACGGCUCUUCCGAGGCACCUCGGUGCCCUCUCUAAACGAGACCCCAGGUCAGGCGGGAUCACCCGCUGAGUUU
RNAcentral lists this ribosomal RNA (724 nucleotides) under Reseda lutea (yellow mignonette). RNAcentral describes it as "eukaryotic LSU rRNA". The stretch from base 321 to 476 matches the Rfam family "5.8S ribosomal RNA". Lineage: Eukaryota; Viridiplantae; Streptophyta; Magnoliopsida; Brassicales; Resedaceae. The record is from RNAcentral.